Stegostoma tigrinum is the source of this 4050-nucleotide RNA transcript. It is a transcript of the gene named zinc finger and BTB domain-containing protein 20-like, with no coding region annotated. The record is from RefSeq and is a predicted model, not a curated record. The transcript is spliced from 2 exons. Lineage: Eukaryota; Metazoa; Chordata; Chondrichthyes; Orectolobiformes; Stegostomatidae.
CAGCUGGAAUGAUUGACAAUUUUGAGAGACAAUGGGAGCUGAAGCAUGGCUGUCUCUCUUCCUCCCACCUUUCCCACUUCCUCCCCGGGAUAGAAGUGAUUGAUUAGACAGAGCUGGUGAUUGACGGCGGUCCGAGUCAACCGAGGAGCGGUGUAUUACACAACAGGACUUUGGACUGACCUUAAACCAAUCAAUCUGGUCAAGAGGCAGCAGGCUGGCCUGCUGAGACGCUGCACCAAUCACUGUAAUCUCGGGGCUGGAUGUCUGGUCAUCAUGUUAGGUUGUCUUUUGUGUAUACAGAAGAUGGAUACAGUAUUCAAAGUGUCUACUUUGGAAAUGUGUUUUAUUUCUGGGAAUAUAUCCUUGCACUUGGGCAAGUAAGUUUUCAGGUUCCAGUUUGACCUCCACUAGAGUAUUGUGUAAAUUUCUGAACUCAUGCUAUAAAAGGGAUGUGAACGCAUUGGCAGAAGAAGUUGACAAGAAUGGUUCGAAGGAUGAGUAACUUCAGUUUUUAAAUAGAGACUUUGUUGUCCUUGGAAAGGAGAAGACGAAAAGGAGACUUGACAGACAUUUUCAAAGUCAUGUAUGGUCUGGACAGAAUAGAUAUGGAAAACUGUUCCCUUCAUAAAUGGAUCAAGAAUGAAAGGCACAGAUAUAAGGUUAAAAAAUAAAUUCUUGCAGUGAGUAAUUAGGAUCUGGAUUGCAUUGUCUGAAAACCUGGUGGAGGUAGAUUCAAUUGAGAAUAUCCAAGAGAGCGUUGGAUGAUUAUUUAAAUAGAACUAAAUUCAAGAGCCUUGUGGUGUAGUACCUGCCUUUGAGCCAGGAGGCCUGGGUUCAGGCUCUACCUGUUCCUGAGGUGUGUCUUUUUAUCAAUGAACAGUUGGUUUGAAAUAUGUAGAAUUGGAAUUUGAAGAGUUGCACCAUGCUCUAGUACAUGUAUGGUGACCAAAGCACCUGUUACAAGAGGGGAGGAACACAUUCUGAAUUUUAGGAAGGAGUCCAUAUGUCUACAUUGAGAAUUUAGAAAUACAGUUUUUAGGGACAAAAUUUCUGGAAAGUAAAUAUUGUCUUUAUUCAAGAUAAAUACCUUGAUUCUGUUUGCCUAACAGAUUGCAUAGAUAAAAACAAGUGUUGGGGUCUGCACAAAAAAAAAAAUUGGUCCAUCAAGCUUGGACUGUCUGGACAGAGUGGAAUGGAAUACACUGUUGGUAUCACCUGUCUUUCAAAUUUGCAGUCCUCGUAGGAGAGGCAAAACAAAAACAAAGUGAUCAAUUUCUGGAACAAAAUUCCAGAAAAUUUCUGACUUCUAUUACAGUCAAACAAGCUCUAGGAUAUUGCAGUAACUUUUAAUUUAUUUCCAGCAACUCUGUAACCUAACAUUGAAUGCAUGGGGAUUUCUACAGAAAAUCCAGAUAUAACCUUCACAAAGCCAUCAGAUGCGACAAGGCUGUACGAACCAAGUCAGGGGCCUAAACCAAGCAUACGGACUCCCCCGCUGCCUGUGGCAAGGCGUAAAUGACAAAUGGGAUGCAAAAUGAAGCAGAGCGUGAUGGUGGACAAAGAUACAUCCCUCCCUAAGUGCUUUCUGUGCUUGGCUCAAGUGGAAUGCCUGUGGCAUGGUGUCAUCUGCCCAACAGUCUUGGAUACGCCUGCUCCCUGUGUCACCAUUGCAGAUGUCAGAUCAGUCUUCGUGGGAAUCAACCUGAGGAAAGCAAUGGGCCCAGACAGAGUUCCCAGCCAAGCACUCAGAUCCUGUAUAGACUAGAAGGCAGAAGUACUCACCGAUGUCUUCAACCUCUCCCUCCGACAAGCUGAAGUCCCCACCUGCUCCAAGAAGACCAGCAGCAUCCCAGUACCGAAUUUGGCACAUGCAGCAGACCUUGAUGAUUACCGUUCAGUGCCUGUGAAAAUCUCAACCCCCGGGCGGGGUCUCUCGUUUCCACGAUCGGUCAGUGAGCACUCGCAAUCGGUCUGGCUGUUUAAGACUUUACUCUUUAUUUCUUCUUACGGCUGGGUACAGAUCAUCCAGAAAUACAAGUUGAGCACUUCUGUAUUCCUCGGAGGAGCUGCACACACAGCUUAAUACAAAGAUAUUUUUAUACAUUUCUUAAAGCAGGGUACAUGACGUGAUUGCAUAGUGCAUUCAAACAACCACCAACCAAUACAUGAUAUUGCUUCAUCGACAGCCACCCAAUCCAACAAUAUCAACUGGUAAACAACCCAUGUCACAACGCUUGGGUUAUUUUUUAUCUCAUCACACAGUGCCGCAACAUUUGCACCCGAAGGUCAGCCAGAACAGUCAGUACUGCACUGUCCCACCAGGUUUCCUCUGUGUUCUAAACGGCGCACCAUCUGCUCAUCUUUCUUUGCAACAAUCUGAGGGUUAGUUAUUUAUGCAGCUCUAGCAGAAUUUACAGUUCCCAGGCUAGGAACCAUUUUUGUUGUGCUAACUUGCAUCGAGAAGCCAUCCCGUCACCGUCCAAGUUACCAAGAGCAUUCAUCAGGCUUCCAGCUGCAACUAGUCAUGCAGGUGCAGGUCUUGAGCUUCCAUAUCCCAGCCUAGGCUGCAUUCAAGUCUCAGACUCUCACCUGUAUCUCCUGCAGCUUGCCUACCAAUGUAACAACAGGUCCACACCGGACGUGGCUUCCUUAGCCCUGCUCUCCAAACCUGGACUACAAGGACACCUAUGUCAGACUCAUGCUCAUUGACCACAGCUCUGACUUCAACACCACUAUCCCCUGCAGACUGACUUCAAAACUCCAAAACCUAGAUCUGGGCUUUGUCCUCUGCGACUGGAUCCUCAGCUUCCUGACGUGUCGACCGCAAUCAGUGACGAUAGACAACUGCUCCUCCUCUAUGAUAACAUGCAACACUUGAGCCCACCCAAGGAUACGUUCUCAGCCCCCUACUUGCUGUACACCCAUGACUGUGUAGCCAAAUUCUAAGUGAUCACCAUCUACACAUUUGCUGAUGACACCACCAUGGUAGGCUGGAUAUCAAACAGUGAUGAGUUAGAAUGUAGGAAGGAGAUAAAGGGCUUGGUGACGUGCUUCAACGAUUUCUUUAAAAAAAACACUCUCAAUGUUUGCAAAACGAAAGCACUGAUCUUUGGCUUCAGAAAGAAAGGAGGAGAACAUGUGCCCAUCUACGUUAACAGAGCAGAAGUUGAGAGCAUCAACUUCCUAGGAGUAACAAUAACUGACAAUGUGUCCUGGAUUUACCGCAUAGCUGUGAGGGUCCAGAGCCUUGCCAACUUCUACAGAUGUACCGUAAAAAGCACGUUGUCCGGGUGCAAAAUAAAAAAAAAAGCCCGGUAAGGCAACUGCUCUGUCUAGGACUGUAAGAAACUACAAAAGGUUGCGUGCACUGCCCAGACCAUCUCGGAAGCCAAUUUCCUAUCCAUGGACUCCAUUUACAUCUCUUGCUCAGAAAGGCUGCCAAUAUUAUUAAAGAUCUAUCCUACCUGGUGAUGCUGUCCUACAAGCUCUUCUGUCAGGCAGAAGAUGCUGAAGCUUCAAGACAUGCAUUAGUGUGUUCAAGAACAGCUUCUUCCCUGCCAUUAUUAGACUGAUGAAUAGUCUGCCUAACUUGAAUAAUGUUAAUCUUAUUAAUGUUGGCCUUGCCUUGUGCACUUCCUGUGUGGUGUAACCUGUAUGCCUUACUCUGUCCAAGUUUUUUUUCCACCCUGUGAUCAGAUGUCCUUGCUUACAAUGAUCUGCCUGUACUGCUAGCAAACAAAGCUUUUCACUAUAUUUCGGUACACUUGACAAUAAAUCAAAUUGAGUGAAAUACACACUACUUUGGGUAUCUGGCUUUCUGUCACUUUUCUGAAAUAUAGCAACAGCUAAAACUUAAAUGAGUCUUUUUUAAAAAAAAACAAGCUUUUUUUCUGACUUUGACAACAUUUGUUCUUAGUGUUCCUGAAAUAUCCUGCUUAAAUAAACACUUCUUAAAUUCAAUGCCUUACCACCCUGAAUAAUUCAGUUAUUUCAGAAUUUCCACUGUAAAUAGUGUUGCAUGAUUUGGUUCAGUUAGUAAUCAUUUACAUU